Molecule: ribosomal RNA, 480 nt
Filed under: uncultured Acidobacteriota bacterium
Lineage: Bacteria; Pseudomonadati; Acidobacteriota
Description: bacterial SSU rRNA
Rfam family: Bacterial small subunit ribosomal RNA
Source: RNAcentral
UUGAUCCUGGCUCAGAAUCAACGCUGGCGGCGCGCUUAACACAUGCAAGUCGCACGAGAAAGUGGAGCAAUCCAUGAGUAAAGUGGCGCACGGGUGAGUUACACGUGGAUCAUCUACCUUCUAGUGGGGAAUACCCUUGGGAAACCGGGUAUAAUACCGCAUAAGCUCGAAAGAGGAAAGCAGCAAUGCGCUGGAAGAGUAGUCCGCGGCUGAUUAGCUAGUUGGCGGGGUAACGGCCCACCAAGGCGAUGAUCGGUAGCCGGCCUGAGAGGGCACACGGCCACACUGGCACUGAAACAUGGGCCAGACUCCUACGGGAGGCAGCAGUGGGGAAUCUUGCACAAUGGGGUAAACCCUGAUGCAGCGACGCCGCGUGAGCGAUGAAGCCCUUCGGGGUGUUAAGCUCUUUCGACGGGAACGAUAAUGACGGUACCCGAAGAAGAAGCUGCUGCUAACUACGUGCCAGCAGCCGCGGUAAUU